Molecule: ribosomal RNA, 498 nt
Filed under: uncultured bacterium
Lineage: Bacteria
Description: partial 16S ribosomal RNA
Rfam family: Bacterial small subunit ribosomal RNA
Source: RNAcentral
GAUGAACGCUAGCGGCAGGCCUAAUACAUGCAAGUCGGACGGGAUUGGGGAGCUUGCUCCCCGUGAGAGUGGCGCACGGGUGCGUAACACGUAUGUAACCUACCUUUAUCAGGGGGAUAGCCUCUCGAAAGAGAGAUUAACACCGCAUAACAUCACAUGAUAGCAUUAUCGAGUGAUCAAAUAUUCAUAGGAUAAAGAUGGGCAUGCGGGACAUUAGCUAGUUGGCGGGAUAACGGCCCACCAAGGCGACGAUGUCUAGGGGAUCUGAGAGGAUGACCCCCCACACUGGUACUGAGACACGGACCAGACUCCUACGGGAGGCAGCAGUAAGGAAUAUUGGUCAAUGGACGCAAGUCUGAACCAGCCAUGCCGCGUGCAGGAGGACGGCCCUACGGGUUGUAAACUGCUUUUGUACCGGAAUAAACCCUUUUACGUGUAAGAGGCUGAAUGUACGGUAAGAAUAAGGAUCGGCUAACUCCGUGCCAGCAGCCGCAGUAA